GUGGGGAAUUUUGGACAAUGGGCGCAAGCCUGAUCCAGCGACGCCGCGUGGAGGACGAAGGCCUUCGGGUUGUAAACUCCUUUUGGAGGGGAAGAAUAAAUUGACGGUACCCUCAGAAAAAGCCACGGCUAACUACGUGCCAGCAGCCGCGGUAAUACGUAGGUGGCGAGCGUUACUCGGAAUUACUAGGCGUAAAGCGUAUGUAGGUGGUUAGAUAAGUCUAUGGUGAAAUUUCCUGGCUUAACUGGGAAGGGACAUAGAUACUAUCUGGCUUGAGUGUGGGAGGGGGAGACGGAAUUCCUGGUGUAGCGGUGAAAUGCGUAGAUAUCAGGAGGAACACCGAUGGCGAAAGCAGUCUCCUGGCCCAAUACUGACACUGAGGUACGAAAGCUAGGGUAGCAAACAGGAUUAGAUACCCCGGUAGUCC
RNAcentral lists this ribosomal RNA (427 nucleotides) under uncultured bacterium. RNAcentral's name for it is "partial 16S ribosomal RNA". It matches the Rfam family "Bacterial small subunit ribosomal RNA", at positions 354 to 796 of the family's 1533-position model. The record is from RNAcentral.